This 31-nucleotide non-coding RNA is filed under the name Mus musculus (house mouse). The record is from RNAcentral. Lineage: Eukaryota; Metazoa; Chordata; Mammalia; Rodentia; Muridae.
UNGACAGUUGCUGGGUACAUUUAGGUUUGGU